AUUGAACGCUGGCGGCAUGCUUUACACAUGCAAGUCGAACGGCAGCGCGGACUUCGGUCUGGCGGCGAGUGGCGAACGGGUGAGUAAUAUAUCGGAACGUACCCAAGAGUGGGGAUAACGUAGCGAAAGUUACGCUAAUACCGCAUACGAUCUAAGGAUGAAAGCAGGGGAUCGCAAGACCUUGUGCUCCUGGAGCGGCCGAUAUCUGAUUAGCUAGUUGGUGAGGUAAAGGCUCACCAAGGCAACGAUCAGUAGCUGGUCUGAGAGGACGACCAGCCACACUGGAACUGAGACACGGUCCAGACUCCUACGGGAGGCAGCAGUGGGGAAUUUUGGGACAAUGGGGGGCAACCCUGAUCCAGCAAUGCCGCGUGAGUGAAGAAGGCCUCGGUUGUAAG
This 398-nucleotide ribosomal RNA is filed under the name uncultured bacterium. RNAcentral describes it as "bacterial SSU rRNA". It matches the Rfam family "Bacterial small subunit ribosomal RNA", at positions 30 to 429 of the family's 1533-position model. The record is from RNAcentral.